Molecule: ribosomal RNA, 846 nt
Filed under: uncultured bacterium
Lineage: Bacteria
Description: bacterial SSU rRNA
Rfam family: Bacterial small subunit ribosomal RNA
Source: RNAcentral
GUCGAGGGGUAACAGAGAAGCUUGCUUCUGCUGACGACCGGCGCACGGGUGCGUAACGCGUAUGCAACCUACCUCAUACUGGAGAAUAGCCCUUGGAAACGAGGAUUAAUACUCCAUGGUAUCAUUCUUUCGCAUGUUAGAAUGAUUAAAGAAUUUCGGUAUGAGAUGGGCAUGCGUCCCAUUAGCUUGUUGGUGAGGUAACGGCUCACCAAGGCAACGAUGGGUAGGGGGCCUGAGAGGGUGGUCCCCCACACUGGUACUGAGACACGGACCAGACUCCUACGGGAGGCAGCAGUGAGGAAUAUUGGUCAAUGGAGGCAACUCUGAACCAGCCAUGCCGCGUGAAGGAUGACGGCCCUAUGGGUUGUAAACUUCUUUUAUAUGGGAAGAAACUUAUCUACGUGUAGAUAACUGACGGUACCAUACGAAUAAGGAUCGGCUAACUCCGUGCCAGCAGCCGCGGUAAUACGGAGGAUCCAAGCGUUAUCCGGAUUCAUUGGGUUUAAAGGGUCCGUAGGCGGAUUUUUAAGUCAGUGGUGAAAGCCGACAGCUCAACUGUCGAACUGCCAUUGAUACUGGAAAUCUUGAGUACAAAUGAAGUAGGCGGAAUGAGUCAUGUAGCGGUGAAAUGCAUAGAUAUGACUCAGAACACCGAUUGCGAANGCAGCUUACUAACAUGUAACUGACGCUGANGGACGAAAGCGUGGGGAGCGAGCAGNAUUAGAUACCCUGGUAGUCCACGCCGUAAACGAUCAUCACUCGCUGUUGGCNAUAUACUGUCAGCGGCCAAGCGAAAGUAUUNAGUGAUGCACNUGGGGNAGUACGCCNNCAACGGNGAAACUCAAA